Molecule: long non-coding RNA, 624 nt
Filed under: Phaseolus vulgaris (common bean)
Lineage: Eukaryota; Viridiplantae; Streptophyta; Magnoliopsida; Fabales; Fabaceae
Description: long non-coding RNA (PVUL_LNC003976)
Source: RNAcentral
UGGAAGUAAUGUCAUAUUCAUAUAUUAUUGGGAGUAUUAUGUAUACUUAGAUUUGUAGUCAAUCAGACAUAAGCUUUGUAGUUGCAACAUUAAAAUGACAUCAAAGUAAUAUAGAAAUGGAACACUUGAAAGCUGCAAAGAAAGUUAUGAUAUAUCUAUAGGGGAACAAAGGAUCACAUGUUUACAUGUAGGAAAUUUGAUUAUCUUGAAGUGAUUAGAUAUUCAAGCUCUAAAAUUUUUGGAUGUGUAAAUACAAGGAAAAUCACUUACAACUAUGUCUUUCUUUUAGUUAGGGCAGUGUUAUUCAAAAUCGCUAAUGCGACACCAUGUUGAAAACCAAUGGCGAAUUUACUCGUUACCGCCCAUGGCAGUGGCGAUGCAGGUUUGCCACGACAACAUAUUGCGAACGCUUUCUGCAUCACGGGAUGCUAGUGAUGAACAAAGAUGAUGAAGAGAGAUGGAGAGAAGCAGGCUAUGCGAUGGUGGCGUGGUGAGGUGCAAUGAGGCUGUGAACGAAAAUCAUAAGCGCGUUGAGAUGAGUUAUGAGGAGUCCCCAUAACUUAAAUGAGUUGCGUGGAAACCCCGAUUUAGAAUAAGUAGAUGCAAUAAAACAUUAUAGCGAAU